RNAcentral lists this microRNA precursor (78 nucleotides) under Schistosoma curassoni. RNAcentral describes it as "mir-3492 microRNA precursor family". It matches the Rfam family "mir-3492 microRNA precursor family". The record is from Rfam by way of RNAcentral. Lineage: Eukaryota; Metazoa; Platyhelminthes; Trematoda; Strigeidida; Schistosomatidae.
AGCCUUCUGUAUCCUUGCUGAGAUUUCUUCACAGACCAGACCACAAGGGCUGAUGAGACUUUCCGGAUAAGUGAAGCG